CAAAUCAGAUUAUACAAAAUCAUGUAUAAUAUUCUCUCACUGGUUAGGUAGGAGCUGCACUCCUUUCUCUAGUGUUGCCAAGAUUUCCAUCACUGGAAUGUGAAGCCCUUCACCUCUCAGAAUGCCAGAGAGAAAACCUCUAUGCAUACUUCUUUUUAGCUGAAGUGUGCCAGGCCUGUCUCUAACAUAUUAUGCAUAUUUGUGAUACCAUUAAGUAGAGAGGGUUUUUAAAUAAUAAUCUGACUCAAAAGAAAAAGACAAAAUUGAAUAUAAUGAACUCCAAGGAGAUACAGGAAUUGUACAGACUGCUUAGAGUAUAAGAAACUUGCUUAAGUAUGUGAAACUUGAUUGUGAUUAGAAAAAAAAUGUAUUUAAUCCUGUUGUUCCUAGUUAUUCAACAUUUGGACGCCAUAAAAGAAAAAAUGGGCUGGGCACAGUGGCUCACACCUGUAAUCCCAGCACUUUGGGAGGUCAAGGCAGGAAAAUCACUUGAGGUCAGGAGUU
RNAcentral lists this long non-coding RNA (504 nucleotides) under Homo sapiens (human). Its description in RNAcentral is "non-protein coding lnc-PLGLB1-5:1". Lineage: Eukaryota; Metazoa; Chordata; Mammalia; Primates; Hominidae. The record is from RNAcentral.